GGCUGAGUAACACGUAGACAACUUACCUAUUACACAGACACAGCUCAUGGAAACGUGGGGUAAUAUCUGAUGGUCUCGUAUGGUGAAACUCCAUGCGGGUAAAGCUUGGUAGCAAUAUCCGGCGGUAAUAGAGAGGUCUGCGGCCCAUCAGCUAGUUGGUAGGGUAAAAGCCUACCAAGGCUAUGACGGGUAGGGGAUCUGAGAGGAUGACCCCCCAGCAUGGGACUGAGACACGGCCCAUACUCCUACGGGAGGCAGCACUCAGGAAUUUUCCGCAAUGGACGAAAGUCUGACGGAGCGACGCCGCGUGAGGGAUGAAGGUUCUCGGAUCGUAAACCUCUUUUGCCAAGGAAUAGGAAGGAAGGUACUUGGCGAAUAAGGAGCUGCAAACUGCGUGCCAGAAGCAUCGGUGAUACGUGGGCUCCAAGCGUUGUCCGGAUUUACUGGGCGUAAAGUGCGUGUAGGCGGUUAGGUGGAUUCUCUUUUAAAUAUCCUGGCUUAACUAGGAAAGAGGAGGGAAUAUCGCCUGGCUAGAAGUGAGAAGAGGAGAUCGGAACGUGUAGUGGAGCGGUGAAAUGUGUUGAUAUUACACGGAACGUCGGUUGCGAAGGCUGAUCUCUGGUCUUAACUCGACGCUGAUACGCGAAAGCUAGGGGAGCGAAACGGAUUAGAUACCCGUGUAGUCCUAGCCGUAAAUGAUGCUCACUAGAUGUUGGUCUUGCUCUUUUUCUUCCCUUAGGGGAGGUCACAGAGGGAUCAGUGUCGAAGAUAACUCGUUAAGUGAGCCGCCUGAAAAGUAUGCUCGCAAGAGUGAAACUCAAAGGAAUUGGCGGGGACCCGCACAAGCGGUGGAGCGCGUGGUUUAAUCCGACGGUAAUCGUAAAAUCUUACCAGGGUUUGACAUGCUGCUGCAGGCUUUUGGAAACAAGAGCGGCCUUAGAGGGUGCAGUACAGGUGCUGCAUGGCCGUCGUCAGCUCGUGCCGUGAGGUGUACCGUUAAGUCGGGUAACGAGCGAAACCCCUAUCCCAUGUUAUAAGUGUCUUGGGAAACUGCCGCGGUAAAACGUGGAGGAAGGAGGGGAUGAUGUCUGGUCGUCACGGCCCUUAUGCCCUGGGCUACACACGCGCUACAAUGGUAUGGACAGCGAGCAGCCACACUGCAAAGUGGAGCUAAUCUCACAAACCAUACCUCAGUUCAGAUUGUGGGCUGAAACUCGCCCACAUGAAGCCGGAAUCGCUAGUAAUCGCAGAUCAGCCAUGCUGCGGUGAAU
RNAcentral lists this ribosomal RNA (1271 nucleotides) under uncultured bacterium. RNAcentral describes it as "bacterial SSU rRNA". It matches the Rfam family "Bacterial small subunit ribosomal RNA", at positions 104 to 1367 of the family's 1533-position model. The record is from RNAcentral.